GCACAAGCGGCGGAGCAUGCGGUAUUAAUUCGAUGCAACGCGAAGAACCUUACCAAGGCUUGACAUACACCGGUAACGCCCAGAGAUGGGUGCCCCUUUGUGGUCGGUGUACAGGUGGUGCAUGGUUGUCGUCAGCUCGUGUCGUGAGAUGUUGGGUUAAGUCCCGCAACGAGCGCAACCCUCGCCCUAUGUUGCCAGCGGGUCAUGCCGGGGACUCAUGGGAGACUGCCGGGGUCAACUCGGAGGAAGGUGGGAUGACGUCAAAUCAUCAUGCCCCUUAUGUCUUGGGCUUCACGCAUGCUACAAUGGCCGGUACAAAGGGCUGCGAUACCGCGAGGUGGAGCGAAUCCCAGAAAGCCGGUCUCAGUUCGGAUUGGGGUCUGCAACUCGACCCCAUGAAGUCGGAGUCGCUAGUAAUCGCAGAUCAGCAACGCUGCGGUGAAUACGUUCCCGGGCCUU
RNAcentral lists this ribosomal RNA (459 nucleotides) under uncultured Cellulomonas sp. Its description in RNAcentral is "bacterial SSU rRNA". It matches the Rfam family "Bacterial small subunit ribosomal RNA", at positions 923 to 1382 of the family's 1533-position model. The record is from RNAcentral. Lineage: Bacteria; Bacillati; Actinomycetota; Actinomycetes; Micrococcales; Cellulomonadaceae.